CUUUGUCCAAAAUUGGUGACGUGUCAGAUCCACCAUUUUUCAACUGCAAACAUCCAUCCAAAUAAAAUAUUAUGAAUUAAUGAAUCAGUGAAAAUAUUGGAAAAAGAAUUUUUAAAUUACCAUUAAAAAUGUUUCCCCGCAUUUUCCGUCACUCUUAGGAGAGAACGAAAUCACGUCCGAGCAAUUGGAUGCUGCAAGGAGAAGAAUUGAAUUACUUUUUCAGUUUUCACAAGUCUACAACAAGAUCCACUUACGAGGCAGGGACGAUGGUCCUUUGGGUACCUGAAGCCAUUCGAGAAGGAAGGAACUACCACUGAACAGAUAAUUAUUGGACAUUUUAAUAUAAGCCAUAUUACUGCUUGUGGUUACGUGCUCCGGUAAUUCCAAGCCGCAUUCAUCUAGUAACUCUGGAGCAUCACUAUCAUACCCAUCGUAAAUCUAUAAAAGAUGAAAAUCAUCGCAUGAACAUUUUUGUGAAAAUCAAGGAAGUUUAUUCUAAUGAUAUAUCCAUCAUCCACGGUAACUCGCCAGGUAUGUGAUUGAGCCUUUAGGUAAAGUUUUGGAUACAUCGGAGAAGAAAUCUUUCCACUUACUCCAUGAAUAUCAUUACCA
Cephus cinctus (wheat stem sawfly) is the source of this 612-nucleotide long non-coding RNA. RefSeq lists it as uncharacterized. The transcript has 3 exons. NCBI's taxonomy places the organism in Eukaryota, Metazoa, Arthropoda, Insecta, Hymenoptera, Cephidae. The record is from RefSeq and is a predicted model, not a curated record.